GGUCCAGACUCCUACGGGAGGCAGCAGUGGGGGAUAUUGCACAAUGGGGGGAACCCUGAUGCAGCGACGCCGCGUGAACGAAGAAAUAUUUCGGUAUGUAAAGUUCUAUCAGCAGGGAAGAAAAUGACAGUACCUGACCAAGAAGCCCCGACUAACUACGUGCCAGCAGCCGCGGUAAUACGUAGGGGGCAAGCGUUAUCCGGAUUUACUGGGUGUAAAGGGAGCGUAGACGGUAAGGCAAGUCAGAUGUGAAAGCCCGGGGCUCAACCGCGGGACUGCAUUUGAAACUGUCCUACUGGAGUGCAGGAGAGGUAAGUGGAAUUCCUAGUGUAGCGGUGAAAUGCGUAGAUAUUAGGAGGAACACCAGUGGCGAAGGCGGCUUACUGGACUGUAACUGACGUUGAGGCUCGAAAGCGUGGGGAGCAAACAGGAUUAGAUACCCGGGUAUC
This 449-nucleotide ribosomal RNA is filed under the name uncultured bacterium. Its description in RNAcentral is "bacterial SSU rRNA". It matches the Rfam family "Bacterial small subunit ribosomal RNA", at positions 328 to 794 of the family's 1533-position model. The record is from RNAcentral.